This 460-nucleotide ribosomal RNA is filed under the name uncultured bacterium. RNAcentral's name for it is "partial 16S ribosomal RNA". It matches the Rfam family "Bacterial small subunit ribosomal RNA", at positions 338 to 795 of the family's 1533-position model. The record is from RNAcentral.
CCUACGGGUGGCAGCAGUGAGGAAUAUUGGUCAAUGGCCGGAAGCCUGAACCAGCCAAGUCGCGUGCAGGAUGACGGCCCUACGGGUUGUAAACCGCUUUUAUACGGGAACAACGCGCCUUACGUGUAGGUCUUUGCAUGUACCCUAUGAAUAAGGAUCGGCUAAUUCCGUGCCAGCAGCCGCGGUAAUACGGAAGGUCCGGACGUUAUCCGGAUUUAUUGGGGUUAAAGGGUGCGGAGGCCGGAGGUCAAGCGUGCUGUGAAAUGUCCGGGCUCCACCCGGGCCUUGCAGUGCGAACUGGAGUGCUUGAGUGCGCGAGAAGCAGGCGGAAUUCGUCGUGUAGCGGUGAAAUGCAUAGAUAUGACGCAGAACCCCGAUUGCGAAGGCAGCAUGCUGCAGCGGAACUGACGCUGAUGCUCGAAAGCGCGGGUAUCGAACAGGAUUAGAUACCCCAGUAGUC